Long non-coding RNA from Homo sapiens (human), 755 nucleotides. Ensembl annotates it as long intergenic non-protein coding RNA 1326. The record is from Ensembl. NCBI's taxonomy places the organism in Eukaryota, Metazoa, Chordata, Mammalia, Primates, Hominidae.
AGACAGAUCUCACAUUCAUGUUAACUGGUUUAUUUUGAAGCAUAACAUUUCAUCAAGGUGUAUACCUGUAUGUGAAUAUUUAACAAUUUAGAAACUGAAACAGAUGCAGAUGAAGAAUGACCUACUUGAAAAUUUACCAGCCAAGCCUGUAAGCUGUGUAGAGUAAUGUCAACACAAAGGAAAUAUCAAUUCAAGUGGAUUCCAAUGUGCAAUCACAGUCAUUAGUAUGGAUUGGUGUCAAACUUUCAAGCAUUUGCCUUGUUUAUUGAACAACCUAAUAAUUCAAAAUGGUAAUGGGAAGAGGGUGGAGUAGGAAAAUAAGGAUAGACUCUGAAACCAAGGUCCUUAGGGCUUCUAUAUGAAUUUCAGAAUUACUGUCAAAUAAAUAUUUAUUGGUGUCCUUUCUCUUGUAUGUAGACAAUAAGUACACAUACAGAUAGCUGUCUAAAAAUUAAGUGUUAAGCUGGAAUUAGAUAUUGAAAUUGAGUACCAAUAUUAUCUUUAGUCAAUUUCCCUUAGGAUACUAUUUUGUGAAGAGAAAAUAUUAUUCAUGUGCAUAUUAAUUAAAGCUUUUAAAAUGAUCACUGAAAAUGUAUCCUCUGACCUGCAGAGUAUAUCCAGUGUAUGUUCUUAAGUCCUGGUGCUAGAUGCAAAUUAAAGAUGAGUAAUGCAAAUUGAAAUUUCCAUGAAAUGAAUCAUUCUACAUAAUGAGCUUUACAAAUUCCACAUUUUAUGCAAUACCAAAAAUAAAAAAA